UGGCGGGUGCCUAUACAUGCAGGUCGAGCGAAUCGAUGGGAGCUUGCUCCCUGAGUAUUAGCGGCGGUACGGGUGAGUAACACGUGGGCAACCUGCCUAUAAGGACUGGGAUAACUUCGGGAAACCGGAGCUAAUACCGGAUACGUUCUUUUCUCGCAUGAGAGAAGAUGGAAAGACGGUUUACGCUGUCACUUAUAGAUGGGCCCGCGGCGCAUUAGCUAGUUGGUGAGGUAAUGGCUCACCAAGGCGACGAUGCGUAGCCGACCUGAGAGGGUGAUCGGCCACACUGGGACUGAGACACGGCCCASACUCCUACGGGAGGCAGCAGUAGGGAAUCUUCCGCAAUGGACGAAAGUCUGACGGAGCAACGCCGCGUGAACGAAGAAGGCCUUCGGGUCGUAAAGUUCUGUUGUUAGGGAAGAACAAGUACCAGAGUAACUGCUGGUACCUUGACGGUACCUAACCAGAAAGCCACGGCUAACUACGUGCCAUGCAGCCGCGGUAAUAYGUAGGUGGCAAGCGUUGUCCGGAAUUAUUGGGCGUAAAGCGCGCGCAGGUGGUUCCUUAAGUCUGAUGUGAAAGCCCACGGCUCAACCGUGGAGGGUCAUUGGAAACUGGGGAACUUGAGUGCAGAAGAGGAAAGUGGAAUUCCAAGUGUAGCGGUGAAAAUGCGUAGAGAUUUGGAGGAACACCAGUGGCGAAGGCGACUUUCUGGUCUGUAACUGACACUGAGGCGCGAAAGCGUGGGGAGCAAACAGGAUUAGAUACCCCUGGUAGUCCACGCCGUAAACGAUGAGUGCUAAGUGUUAGAGGGUUUCCGCCCUUUAGUGCUGCAGCUAACGCAUUAAGCACUCCGCCUGGGGAGUACGGCCGCAAGGCUGAAACUCAAAGGAAUUGACGGGGGCCCGCACAAGCGGUGGAGCAUGUGGUUUAAUUNGAAGCAACGCGAAGAACCUUACCAGGUCUUGACAUCCUCUGACAACCCUAGAGAUAGGGCUUUCCCCUUCGGGGGACAGAGUGACAGGUGGUGCAUGGUUGUCGUCAGCUCGUGUCGUGAGAUGUUGGGUUAAGUCCCGCAACGAGCGCAACCCUUGAUCUUAGUUGCCAGCAUUCAGUUGGGCACUCUAAGGUGACUGCCGGUGACAAACCGGAGGAAGGUGGGGAUGACGUCAAAUCAUCAUGCCCCUUAUGACCUGGGCUACACACGUGCUACAAUGGAUGGUACAAAGGGCUGCAAACCUGCGAAGGUAAGCGAAUCCCAUAAAGCCAUUCUCAGUUCGGAUUGCAGGCUGCAACUCGCCUGCAUGAAGCCGGAAUCGCUAGUAAUCGCGGAUCAGCAUGCCGCGGUGAAUACGUUCCCGGGCCUUGUACACACCGCCCGUCACACCACGAGAGUUUGUAACACCCGAAGUCGGUGAGGUAACCUUCAUGGAGCCAGCCGCCUAAGGUGGACAGAGAUNG
Molecule: ribosomal RNA, 1461 nt
Filed under: Bacillus sp. 20 JDE-2009
Lineage: Bacteria; Bacillati; Bacillota; Bacilli; Caryophanales; Bacillaceae
Description: bacterial SSU rRNA
Rfam family: Bacterial small subunit ribosomal RNA
Source: RNAcentral